CAAUGUUAUAACUGCUCAACAA
Molecule: non-coding RNA, 22 nt
Filed under: Arabidopsis thaliana (thale cress)
Lineage: Eukaryota; Viridiplantae; Streptophyta; Magnoliopsida; Brassicales; Brassicaceae
Source: RNAcentral